UACGUAGGGGGCAAGCGUUGUCCGGAAUCAUUGGGCGUAAAGAGCGUGUAGGUGGCUCGGUAAGUCCGCUGUGAAAGUCCAGGGCUCAACCCUGGAAUGCCGGUGGAAACUGUCGAGCUAGAGUCCGGAAGAGGCGAGUGGAAUUCCUGGCGUAGCGGUGAAAUGCGCAGAUAUCAGGAGGAACACCAAUGGCGAAGGCAGCUCGCUGGGACGGUACUGACACUGAGACGCGAAAGCGUGGGGAGCAAACAGG
Molecule: ribosomal RNA, 253 nt
Filed under: uncultured bacterium
Lineage: Bacteria
Description: partial 16S ribosomal RNA
Rfam family: Bacterial small subunit ribosomal RNA
Source: RNAcentral